GCAAGGAUGGGGGAGUGCUCAGAGGACAGGCAAGAGGGUGGGAUAGAGUAGAAAGGACUCAGUCUGAAGAAGGAAAUGCAUUAAAGAAAGAUUAGUAGAUAAAUGUGGGUGAAGGCUACGGAGAGGCAGGGUAGACAGGAGGUGAAGGCCAAAGGGCACUAAAGGGCAAGAGAUGGUACGGCUGUGAGGGGAAGUGGGGGUGCUGAGAAGGCCCACCUUGGCCUUGAUGAUCUGCUCCAUGUUGGAGGUGACGUCAUCCAGCUCCAGUUUGAACUCGCUCUUCUCUUUCUCCAGCUUCUGCUUCACCCGCUGUAGAUUGUCUAUCUGCUCGCCCAGCUCGGCCACGCUGUCUGCGUGCUUCUUGCGCAGGGCCGCGGCUGUGGCCUCAUGCUGCAGCGUGGCCUCCUCCAGGUCCCGCCGCAUCUUCUGGAACUCGGCCUCGCGCUUCUUGUUCAUCUCUAUCUGCACAGAUGUGGCCCC
RNAcentral lists this long non-coding RNA (480 nucleotides) under Rattus norvegicus (Norway rat). RNAcentral describes it as "long non-coding RNA NONRATT010415". The record is from RNAcentral. Lineage: Eukaryota; Metazoa; Chordata; Mammalia; Rodentia; Muridae.